Molecule: long non-coding RNA, 1498 nt
Filed under: Homo sapiens (human)
Lineage: Eukaryota; Metazoa; Chordata; Mammalia; Primates; Hominidae
Description: antisense transcript of PTP4A3, liver carcinoma survival associated (ASTILCS)
Source: RNAcentral
GAGUCCCAACACUGGUAUGGUCUGAGGCGGACUCCACCCGGCCUGAGACCUGACGCUCUGCUUUCCCCUGACCUCCACUGACAUCUACGACCCGCCCUGGAGGCACGGAAGGCUGUGGGGUUCCAGCCCCCCAAACUGUGCAGCUGAGGAAAAUGAGCCGUGAAUGGGGGCAGAGCCAGAUCCUGGGCGGGACCCUGCGCAGGAUGAACUCAGGCAGCCAGAGGGACCCCGGGAAGAUGGGAGUGAGAGCUGCCUUCGUCUGCAAAAGUCUCCAGACACCACCUCACUGGUGAAGGCCAGAGACCCUAAACUGUCCCAAGACCACCUGACUGGGCUGCCUCCCUGCCACCUGGCUGCCAGCCUCUCUCAGAGCGCCUGCAAGCUAUUCCUCCAACCCAGAGUUUCCUUCCCAGCUAAAGGCCUUUGCACCUGCUGUUCCUUCUGCCUGGAAGUUCACCGCAGACUAUCCCAGGGCCUCCAUCCUUCCCAUUGCAUGGUCCCCAUCAGCUGCCGCCGCCUCUGAGAGCUCAGUCUCCACUGGCCAUCCUGUCUCUCAGCCCACUGCACUCUCCACUCUGCCAGAAAGUCCCCCAAUCAGUGACAACACAGGUCACGGUCCACACCUCACCUGGUUUGUCCCCAGUGCCCAGCAUCUGGCACCGAGCAGGUGCGUGCAAAUCCUGGACAGGUGGGCAAGCUGAUGGUGUCCAGAGGCCCCUGGUCCUUAAGGGCAGGGGUGGGGAUGGCUCAGAGGACAUAACCUUGCAGACCCGGGUUCAAAUCUGGGCUCCUCAGCUCAUUUGGUCCUCACACAGCCCAUGUUGGGAGAGCUAGUGUUCUCCCUGUUUUGCUGAUGAGACACAGAGAAGGUCAGCAACUCCCGAAGAUUGCCCAGCAAGUUGGGAGUAAAGCUGGUGCAAUUCCCACGUUUAGCUGCUAAACAGGGUGUCCUGUACUUGGUGUGUUCAAGCAGAAAUCCACACAUGGGAAGGUCAAGGCAACAUCCCUGGUACUCCAGCUUUGAGGUCCUAGGAAAAAGGGAACCUCCCAUUAAAUGCUUCUAUUGCCGGGAAGUUCAGCACCUGUAAAAGCAGCCCCUUCCCGUUUCACUGUGGCUGCAUUUUAAUUCUUAUUUUUUAAAUGUUUAGCUUAAGGCCGGGCACAGUGACUCACACUAUAAUCCCAGCAAUUUGGGAGGCUGAGGCGGGAGGAUCACUUGAGCCUAGGAAUUCAAGACCAGCCUAGGUAACAUAGUGGGACCCUAUCUCUACAAAAAAUAAAAAAUUAGCCAGUCAUGGUGGCAUGCUCCUAUAGUCCCAGCUUGGAGAUUGAGGUGGGAGGAUCACCUGAGCCUAAGAGGACAAGGCUAGAGUAAGCCCUGAUCCCGCCAGCACCCCAGCCUAAGUGAAAGAGCGAGAGCCUGUCUCAAAAAAGAUAAAAAAAAAAAAAGCAUUAAUAAAUAAAUGUUUGGCUUCAUCUAGCCUGAGCAGCACCAACA